GUGCUCACUUCAGCUGCACAUAUACUAAAGUUGGAAUGAUACAGAGAAGAUCAGCAUGACCCCUGCACAAAGUGGCAUGUAAAUUCUUGAUGCAUUCCAUUUUUUU
This is a small nuclear RNA of Macaca fascicularis (crab-eating macaque), 106 nucleotides long. NCBI's taxonomy places the organism in Eukaryota, Metazoa, Chordata, Mammalia, Primates, Cercopithecidae. The record is from Ensembl.